Podarcis raffonei (Aeolian wall lizard) is the source of this 2250-nucleotide long non-coding RNA. RefSeq lists it as uncharacterized. The transcript has 3 exons. The record is from RefSeq and is a predicted model, not a curated record. Lineage: Eukaryota; Metazoa; Chordata; Lepidosauria; Squamata; Lacertidae.
AUGGGCCUACAAUUUCCCAUCAGGCCCAUUGGUUCGAGGCUCCUGCCCUCUGCAGUAGGAGGAAACAAGCUUACUCCAUCUUCCAUGUGACAGACCUUCAAAUAUCUAAAGAUGGCUAUCACAGCAGGUGAUGGAAAGAGUACCAGGAAAGUUCCUUCCUGACAGGUGACACCUGAAACAGUGUUAGUUCUGCAGAUCGAAGCAGUCAAGUGGAUGUAUAUGGGGCAAGGUGGUUUCACAGCUUCCUGUGUUCCUAAGAAGGUCACAGAGGGGAUGGAUUGUUCCUCUUUGACAUUGGACUUCAAUGUUGCUUAUUCUGAUGCUGCAAAGCCAAUUUUUAUUUUCUUACGAACACUGCCUUCCAUAUUAAUCAAGAGAUCCCAUAAACAGAAGAAAUGCAUUACACCAACCUUCAAUAUUUUGAAAGUACCCUGUAGGUAUGAUUUAUUAUGGGUUUUUUUCCUGCAGCUCUGAAAACUACCUGCACAGGUGAGGGGAAUAAAAACACAGCCAACCUGUUUAAUUGUGCAUUCAACCCAAUUUGCUUCCGUGGUGCUUGAUUGAUGCUUGCCCUUUGUAGAGCAUUUGUUCUGAUUUAUUUCAGGGGAGGGCAUGCAGUAAGGAACAUUCACCCUGAUUUGUUUGCAGAGGUUAUACACCUUCCCAUCAACUGAUCAUCAUCCCACUCUUUUUAGUGCAUUGUCUGGUCAAUUUCCUAUCCACAAAAAAAAAAGUUAAUUUGUUAUAUUGGAGAGGCCACCCACUUUAUAACUUCACAAAUUAUAAAUUUCCAAUAUCUAACUGAACGCACAUCGAAUAACGUGACCAUCUUACAGCAGCCACAGUGUACGGAUUGCCUUGGCUGGAUCUGAACUCAGGGCCACCUAUUCCAGGACUCCGUUGCCAACUGUGGCCAGCCAGAUGCUUCAAGGAAGCCCACAAGCCAGGGCCUCGCCCCUCUUGCCUGCUCUUGAUACCCAGCACUCUGAAUUUUACAGCCUCUGCUUUGCAGAAAUCUGCCUGCCCUGCUUGCAUAAAAGCAAAGCACCCAUAUAUAUUUAAAUAAUGUCCGCCGGGAAUGUUGGUGAUCCCACCACUAGGGGGAGUGUGUCCUUCUCCCACAAUUUCCAUCAUAUUACUCUUAGUUUCACUCCUUAGCAACUUGCCGUUGUGCGGCAAAUUAGCAUCACCACCGACAAAAUGCUUUAGCAAAGAAAGUAGUUUUUGUUUGCUGUCAGGCUCAUGCUUUAAUCCUGAGUGGUUGGAUUCUGUAUUUAAAAGCUAGAAUUGAGGCAGGGCAGUAGAGAAACCGCCUAAGACAGAAAAACUAAAAAUAGCAGUCUUCCCCUAUGACAGUAAAAAUAUCCUAAUAAAUAAGUUUUGCUGUCUGUUUACAGCAGCCCCAAAAUCUGACAAUUGAGUUAGGCAGACUAAUGGUAAGGCCAGCUCUUGUCAGAUUCUCGCCUUGGGGUGAAGCUACAAGUUCAGCUGGACUUACAUAAUUUUAAGGGUCUGCAGCUGCUGCAGAAGAGUGCUUGCUGCAUUUUGGUAAAAGAGGGAUGAGUGUACUCCCAGUGUCGUCAGACUCCAACUCCCAUCAGCUUCACCCAGAAUGUGCAAUGGUCAGGGGUGAUGGGAGUCAAUUGUCAUUGAUUUAUGUGGUGUUUCAUGGAUCAACAUAAGCAAAUAUAUGUCACAGUCCCCUAGCAGCAUACAAUCUAAUGUUGACAGCAAAAUGAGACAGAAAUACCAUAAGCGGUAGGUGGGAAGGAAGAAGGAGGAUUAACAAAGGAUGGAGAUGACAUUGAGAGCUUUGUUUUGUAUUUUUGCUUUGUUUCAAAAACAGCAUUAUACUUCCAGCCAAUUGUCCUUCAUAAGCAUAUUAGCCAAGAAUGUUUGGGGAUAUCUUGGUAAUUUUUCCAUUAAAGCGCUCUCCCAGAUCUGGAGGUACCAAUAUACUCUCUGUUUGAUUUGUUUUCAGUGUGUUAUUAGCAGUGCUUUUUUUUCCUUAAAAAAUAUUUAGGAGUACUCUCAUUUUCCUACUCAUAUUGAAAUACUACCCGUCAAUGAGGCCAAACUUAGAUUUACAAAAUGUUUAGGGGCAUGCGUACCCCCAGAAAAAAAGCACUGGUUAUUAGUAUGUGUCAUUUGAACAGUUUGGGUGGCAUUUUAUUUAUUUACGUUCAUGGAAAUGCUGCUUAGGGGUUUGAUUGAAGAGGCUGAUCUCUUAAAUAAGUAACUAAAGGAAUG